This 366-nucleotide ribosomal RNA is filed under the name Pseudopedinella elastica. RNAcentral describes it as "partial Bacterial small subunit ribosomal RNA". It matches the Rfam family "Bacterial small subunit ribosomal RNA", at positions 164 to 548 of the family's 1533-position model. The record is from RNAcentral. Lineage: Eukaryota; Dictyochophyceae; Pedinellales.
UAAUACCGCAUAAGCGCACGGCAUCGCAUGAUGCAGUGUGAAAAACUCCGGUGGUAUAAGAUGGACCCGCGUUGGAUUAGCUGGUUGGUGAGGUAACGGCCCACCAAGGCGACGAUCCAUAGCCGACCUGAGAGGGUGACCGGCCACAUUGGGACUGAGAUACGGCCCAGACUCCUACGGGAGGCAGCAGUGGGGAAUCUUGGACAAUGGGCGCAAGCCUGAUCCAGCCAUGCCGCGUGAGUGAUGAAGGCCUUAGGGUCGUAAAGCUCUUUCGCCAGAGAUGAUAAUGACAGUAUCUGGUAAAGAAACCCCGGCUAACUCCGUGCCAGCAGCCGCGGUAAUACGGAGGAUGCAAGCGUUAUCCGG